This 797-nucleotide ribosomal RNA is filed under the name uncultured bacterium. RNAcentral describes it as "bacterial SSU rRNA". It matches the Rfam family "Bacterial small subunit ribosomal RNA", at positions 8 to 796 of the family's 1533-position model. The record is from RNAcentral.
AGAGUUUGAUCAUGGCUCAGAUUGAACGCUGGCGGCAUGCCUUACACAUGCAAGUCGAACGGCAGCACGGGGGCAACCCUGGUGGCGAGUGGCGAACGGGUGAGUAACACAUCGGAACGUACCCAGUUGUGGGGGGAUAACCAGUCGAAAGACGGGCUAAUACCGCAUGAUCUGGCGACAGCAAAGCGGGGGAUCGGUAACGACCUCGCGCGAUUGGAGCGGCCGAUGUCCGAUUAGCUAGUUGGUGGGGUAAAGGCCCACCAAGGCUUUGAUCGGUAGCUGGUCUGAGAGGAUGAUCAGCCACACUGGGACUGAGACACGGCCCAGACUCCUACGGGAGGCAGCAGUGGGGAAUUUUGGACAAUGGGGGCAACCCUGAUCCAGCCAUGCCGCGUGAGUGAAGAAGGCCUUCGGGUUGUAAAGCUCUUUCGGUAGGAACGAAACGGUUACGGCUAAUACCUGUGACUAAUGACGGUACUUACAGAAGAAGCACCGGCUAACUACGUGCCAGCAGCCGCGGUAAUACGUAGGGUGCGAGCGUUAAUCGGAAUUACUGGGCGUAAAGGGUGCGCAGGCGGUCUCGUAAGCUGGGUGUGAAAGCCCCGGGCUUAACCUGGGAAUGGCAUUCAGGACUGCGAGGCUUUGAGUGCGGCAGAGGGAGGUGGAAUUCCACGUGUAGCAGUGAAAUGCGUAGAGAUGUGGAGGAACACCGAUGGCGAAGGCAGCCUCCUGGGCCAGCACUGACGCUCAUGCACGAAAGCGUGGGGAGCAAACAGGAUUAGAUACCCUAGUAGUCC